Molecule: ribosomal RNA, 681 nt
Filed under: Cellulomonas sp.
Lineage: Bacteria; Bacillati; Actinomycetota; Actinomycetes; Micrococcales; Cellulomonadaceae
Description: bacterial SSU rRNA
Rfam family: Bacterial small subunit ribosomal RNA
Source: RNAcentral
UGCAGUCGAACGGUGAAGCCCAGCUUGCUGGGUGGAUCAGUGGCGAACGGGUGAGUAACACGUGAGUAACCUGCCUUUGACUCUGGGAUAAGCCUUGGAAACGGGGUCUAAUACUGGAUACGAGACGCUCGGGCAUCCGAAGUGUCUGGAAAGAUUUAUCGGUCAGAGAUGGACUCGCGGCCUAUCAGCUUGUUGGUGGGGUAACGGCCUACCAAGGCGACGACGGGUAGCCGGCCUGAGAGGGCGACCGGCCACACUGGGACUGAGACACGGCCCAGACUCCUACGGGAGGCAGCAGUGGGGAAUAUUGCACAAUGGGCGCAAGCCUGAUGCAGCGACGCCGCGUGAGGGAUGACGGCCUUCGGGUUGUAAACCUCUUUCAGCAGGGAAGAAGCGCAAGUGACGGUACCUGCAGAAGAAGCGCCGGCUAACUACGUGCCAGCAGCCGCGGUAAUACGUAGGGCGCAAGCGUUGUCCGGAAUUAUUGGGCGUAAAGAGCUCGUAGGCGGUUUGUCGCGUCUGCUGUGAAAACUCGAGGCUCAACCUCGGGCCUGCAGUGGGUACGGGCAGACUAGAGUGCGGUAGGGGAGACUGGAAUUCCUGGUGUAGCGGUGGAAUGCGCAGAUAUCAGGAGGAACACCGAUGGCGAAGGCAGGUCUCUGGGCCGCAACUGACGCUGAG